UAAGGACGUCACAUCCGGCACUGUAUGUUUCAGUCUACUUCACGGCAUGCCUGGGUCGAGUAAGACUGAAGGCGUGGGUGACUGUCCAACUUAAAUAUGCUAAGUGUUGCUGAGAUGAAGCCAGGCUCUGCCCUGCUCAGACCUCCUGACUGACCUCUACUGCUCCAGCAUGACUUUGAGCUGAACACUAAGAACUAGAGAUGAAGCCAGGCUCUGCCCUGCUCAGACCUUCUGACUGACCUCUGCUGCUCCAGCAUGAGCUGAACACUAAGG
Long non-coding RNA from Notothenia coriiceps (black rockcod), 273 nucleotides. RefSeq lists it as uncharacterized. The transcript is spliced from 4 exons. NCBI's taxonomy places the organism in Eukaryota, Metazoa, Chordata, Actinopteri, Perciformes, Nototheniidae. The record is from RefSeq and is a predicted model, not a curated record.